UUGGCAUGGGUGCUAGCUUAGGUCCCUUCUACUACUACUCCACUUAGUAAAUUGUCUAUAUUCUAUUACUUUGUACCUAUGUGUGUGAGCUGUGUUAUAUUCAUCUUCCUCAAGUACUACAACACUGGUAGUUGUACACAUAUGAUGGUGAUUCGCUCCGGCCAUUCCAGUUUUGGCGGUGGUGGUGCUGCUGCUCCUAUGAUGGUAGACUCAUCUGAUUCCCCUAGCCGCAUCCAUGGUGAUGAAGCUCGGCCUAGGCUAGAACCCCCUCCAGUGAGCUCCUCAAGUCCUCUUAUACCCCUCCUACUUGCUUCUUGGUUCUAUGCCCUGCCUUUGUGAGGUGUAAUUGUUCAAUUUUGUUCAUAGUCGAGCAUUGGAUGAUAUUGUAUUUGUCAUGAUGUACAUGGUUCAUGAACUAUGCCAACCUGCAGCUUUGUUGAACUAGUGAUAGUAGGAUAAUGCAAGUUUUGACAAUCCAUGCAUAUUUUCGCAUCAUAAUAAUCUUCUUCUUCUAGUCUUCUUCUUCUAACUUUCUUCUUCCCAUUUUACAGAUUUGCUUAAGAUCACGGAAGCUUGGGUUGAUGGAGUGCUUGUAUUUAGUUUUUGUUUUGACCUUGUGAAACUUGCUAUCUAUGGAUGAAACUGUGUAAUAUUGAUGAAACUAUGUAUAUGUAUGGAUGAAACUUGCUACUAUUGGUAACAUGUGUUGGAUAUAUAUGUGUUCAU
RNAcentral lists this long non-coding RNA (726 nucleotides) under Triticum aestivum (bread wheat). RNAcentral describes it as "long non-coding RNA (TAES_LNC012703)". Lineage: Eukaryota; Viridiplantae; Streptophyta; Magnoliopsida; Poales; Poaceae. The record is from RNAcentral.